RNAcentral lists this ribosomal RNA (253 nucleotides) under uncultured bacterium. Its description in RNAcentral is "partial 16S ribosomal RNA". It matches the Rfam family "Bacterial small subunit ribosomal RNA", at positions 524 to 776 of the family's 1533-position model. The record is from RNAcentral.
UACGUAGGGUGCGAGCGUUGUCCGGAAUUAUUGGGCGUAAAGAGCUUGUAGGCGGUCUGUCGCGUCUGCUGUGAAAAUCCGGGGCUCAACCCCGGACUUGCAGUGGGUACGGGCAGACUAGAGUGUGGUAGGGGAGACUGGAAUUCCUGGUGUAGCGGUGAAAUGCGCAGAUAUCAGGAGGAACACCGAUGGCGAAGGCGGGUCUCUGGGCCGAAAUUGACGCUGAGGAGCGAAAGCGUGGGGAGCAAACAGG